CCUACGGGUCGCAGCAGUAGGGAAUCUUCGGCAAUGGACGAAAGUCUGACCGGGCAACGCCGCGUGAGUGAAGAAGGUUUUCGGAUCGUAAAACUCUGUUGGUAGAGAAGAACGUUGGUGAGAGUGGAAAGCUCAUCAAUUGACGGUAACUACCCAGAAAGGGACGGUUAACUACGUGCCAGCAGCCGCGGUAAUACGUAGGUCCCGAGCGUUGUCCGGAUUUAUUGGGCGUAAAGCGAGCGCAGGUGGUUUAUUAAGUCUGGUGUAAAAGGCAGUGGCUCAACCAUUGUAUGCAUUGGAAACUGGUAGACUUGAGUGCAGGAGAGGAGAGUGGAAUUCCAUGUGUAGCGGUGAGAUGCGUAGAUAUAUGGAGGAACACCGGUGGCGAAAGCGGCUCUCUGGCCUGUAACUGACGCUGAGGCUCGAAAGCGUGGGGAGCAAACAGGAUUAGAUACCCCAGUAGUC
RNAcentral lists this ribosomal RNA (465 nucleotides) under uncultured bacterium. RNAcentral describes it as "bacterial SSU rRNA". It matches the Rfam family "Bacterial small subunit ribosomal RNA", at positions 338 to 795 of the family's 1533-position model. The record is from RNAcentral.